This 80-nucleotide transfer RNA is filed under the name Nitrosarchaeum koreense MY1. RNAcentral describes it as "tRNA-Asn". It matches the Rfam family "tRNA". From Rfam's summary of the family: Transfer RNA (tRNA) molecules are approximately 80 nucleotides in length. Their secondary structure includes four short double-helical elements and three loops (D, anti-codon, and T loops). Further hydrogen bonds mediate the characteristic L-shaped molecular structure. tRNAs have two regions of fundamental functional importance: the anti-codon, which is responsible for specific mRNA codon recognition, and the 3' end, to which the tRNAs corresponding amino acid is attached (by aminoacyl-tRNA synthetases). tRNAs cope with the degeneracy of the genetic code in two manners: having more than one tRNA (with a specific anti-codon) for a particular amino acid; and 'wobble' base-pairing, i.e. permitting non-standard base-pairing at the 3rd anti-codon position. The record is from RNAcentral. Lineage: Archaea; Thermoproteati; Nitrososphaerota; Nitrososphaeria; Nitrosopumilales; Nitrosopumilaceae.
GCCGGGGUAGCUCAGCCUGGUUAGAGUGCCAGUUGAUUGGUAAAAUCUGGAGGUCGUGGGUUCGAAACCCAUCCCCGGCA